UCAGCUAAUCAAAGAUUAUACAAAUUAGGCCUCGUUAGUUUACAGUAGUUCCGACCAAGAAUGAAUCCUGAUGCAUGUGGCCUAUACAAAUUACAAUAAUGUUCCUAGCUAGAAUAUUUCUAUGGCUUCAUUCCCCUUCAAACGAACAGCCUCUUACACAAUCUAGCUAAGAAUCAUUCCAGGACACCAUCCCAUGUUAACCGAACAGGCCCUAAGUAAGUUGGAGCUAAAGAUACAGCUUUUGCUACUUCUGGAGUUAGUUUUAACCGCAAACAUUGGCGCCAUGUCUUAAUCAUCUGCAUCUCCAGUUACCGGCCGGCUUCUCUGAACUCAGAAGAACACAACGGUGACGCUACUUGGCAGAUUGAUCCUCCUGUAGAAACAACAACUCAAGUGACGGCAUCAAGAUGCACUAGAUUGCUGGGUGG
Molecule: long non-coding RNA, 428 nt
Filed under: Sorghum bicolor (sorghum)
Lineage: Eukaryota; Viridiplantae; Streptophyta; Magnoliopsida; Poales; Poaceae
Description: long non-coding RNA (SBIC_LNC004017)
Source: RNAcentral